GCCGGGCGCGAUGGCUCACGCCUGUAAUCCCAGAACUUUGGGAGGCUGAGGCGGGUGGAUCACUUGAGGUCAGGAGUUCAAGACCAGCCUGGCCAAGAUAGUGAAACCCCGUCUCUA
RNAcentral lists this signal recognition particle RNA (117 nucleotides) under Pan troglodytes (chimpanzee). RNAcentral describes it as "Metazoan signal recognition particle RNA". It matches the Rfam family "Metazoan signal recognition particle RNA". Rfam says of the family: The signal recognition particle (SRP) is a universally conserved ribonucleoprotein. It is involved in the co-translational targeting of proteins to membranes. Lineage: Eukaryota; Metazoa; Chordata; Mammalia; Primates; Hominidae. The record is from Rfam by way of RNAcentral.